This 532-nucleotide ribosomal RNA is filed under the name uncultured bacterium. Its description in RNAcentral is "bacterial SSU rRNA". It matches the Rfam family "Bacterial small subunit ribosomal RNA", at positions 338 to 859 of the family's 1533-position model. The record is from RNAcentral.
CCUACGGGAGGCAGCAGUGGGGAAUAUUGGACAAUGGGCGGAAGCCUGAUCCAGCCAUGCCGCGUGUGUGAAGAAGGCCUUUUGGUUGUAAAGCACUUUAAGCGAGGAGGAGGCUACUAGUAUUAAUACUACUGGAUAGUGGACGUUACUCGCAGAAUAAGCACCGGCUAACUCUGUGCCAGCAGCCGCGGUAAUACAGAGGGUGCGAGCGUUAAUCGGAUUUACUGGGCGUAAAGCGUGCGUAGGCGGCUGAUUAAGUCGGAUGUGAAAUCCCUGAGCUUAACUUAGGAAUUGCAUUCGAUACUGGUCAGCUAGAGUAUGGGAGAGGAUGGUAGAAUUCCAGGUGUAGCGGUGAAAUGCGUAGAGAUCUGGAGGAAUACCGGAUGGCGAAGGCAGCCAUCUGGCCUAAAUACUGACGCUGAGGUACGAAAGCAUGGGGAGCAAACAGGAUUAGAUACCCUGGUAGUCCAUGCGUAACGAUGUCUACUAGUCGUUCGGGUUCGUUGUAGACUUAGUUGGCGCGNGCUACGCG